UGAGUUUGUGGCUCAGCGGUAGAGCGCUUGCCUCACACGUGUGAGACCCUGGGUUCAAUCCUUAGCACCACUUAA
This 75-nucleotide transfer RNA is filed under the name Marmota monax (woodchuck). RNAcentral describes it as "tRNA.Val". The stretch from base 7 to 67 matches the Rfam family "tRNA", at positions 6 to 65 of the family's 71-position model. From Rfam's summary of the family: Transfer RNA (tRNA) molecules are approximately 80 nucleotides in length. Their secondary structure includes four short double-helical elements and three loops (D, anti-codon, and T loops). The record is from RNAcentral. Lineage: Eukaryota; Metazoa; Chordata; Mammalia; Rodentia; Sciuridae.